This 73-nucleotide transfer RNA is filed under the name Candidatus Levyibacteriota bacterium. RNAcentral describes it as "tRNA-Arg". It matches the Rfam family "tRNA". From Rfam's summary of the family: Transfer RNA (tRNA) molecules are approximately 80 nucleotides in length. Their secondary structure includes four short double-helical elements and three loops (D, anti-codon, and T loops). Further hydrogen bonds mediate the characteristic L-shaped molecular structure. tRNAs have two regions of fundamental functional importance: the anti-codon, which is responsible for specific mRNA codon recognition, and the 3' end, to which the tRNAs corresponding amino acid is attached (by aminoacyl-tRNA synthetases). tRNAs cope with the degeneracy of the genetic code in two manners: having more than one tRNA (with a specific anti-codon) for a particular amino acid; and 'wobble' base-pairing, i.e. permitting non-standard base-pairing at the 3rd anti-codon position. The record is from RNAcentral. Lineage: Bacteria; Candidatus Levyibacteriota.
GCGCUUGUAGCUUAAUGGAUAGAGCAUUGGAUUGCGGAUCCAAAGGUUGUGGGUUCAACUCCCGCCAGGCGCG